RNAcentral lists this ribosomal RNA (460 nucleotides) under uncultured bacterium. RNAcentral describes it as "partial 16S ribosomal RNA". It matches the Rfam family "Bacterial small subunit ribosomal RNA", at positions 338 to 795 of the family's 1533-position model. The record is from RNAcentral.
CCUACGGGAGGCAGCAGUGAGGAAUAUUGGUCAAUGGACGAGAGUCUCAACCAGCCAAGUAGCGUGAAGGAUGACUGCCCUAUGGGUUGUAAACUUCUUUUAUAAAGGAAUAAAACGAGGCACGUGUGCCUCUUUGCAUGUACUUUAUGAAUAAGGAUCGGCUAACUCCGUGCCAGCAGCCGCGGUAAUACGGAGGAUCCGAGCGUUAUCCGGAUUUAUUGGGUUUAAAGGGAGCGUAGAUGGGUUGUUAAGUCAGUUGUGAAAGUUUGCGGCUCAACCGUAAAAUUGCAAUUGAUACUGGCAGUCUUGAGUACAGUUGAGGUAGGCGGAAUUCGUGGUGUAGCGGUGAAAUGCUUAGAUAUCACGAAGAACCCCGAUUGCGAAGGCAGCUUACUAAACUGUGACUGACAUUGAUGCUCGAAAGUGUGGGUAUCAAACAGGAUUAGAUACCCCUGUAGUC